This is a long non-coding RNA of Meriones unguiculatus (Mongolian gerbil), 3747 nucleotides long. RefSeq lists it as uncharacterized. NCBI's taxonomy places the organism in Eukaryota, Metazoa, Chordata, Mammalia, Rodentia, Muridae. The record is from RefSeq and is a predicted model, not a curated record. The transcript has 3 exons.
AACAAGAGGGCAAUCUGAGGGUAGAGAGCUUAGGAGAGGAAAUGAAGCAGUCUGAGAGUCUGACAAGUCAAACAGGCUGACACCCAAGCAUCACGGACUGCCCACAUUAGUAAAACGCAGAAAAGCAGCCUGUCAUGUGAUGGUCCCUCCCUCCUUCUCCCUGGCUUGCAACUUACACAAUCCUGUGCUAGACUCAGUUGGUAAACAAGAAAAUUCAGGCUGGGAGAGGCCGCACUUACCCAAGGGAAUUGAAAUCGACACACCUGUGACUCACCGGCUCAGAAGCCAUCCUGUAAGGACUGGGAGACACUUCAUUUCCUACACAGAUGUAUCCAGACCCCAUCCAUCCCAUCCUGCUGUUGGUUGUGCAGACAGACAUUUGAUGCGCAGGGUCCCCUUUCCUAGGACCAGGAGGAUUCUGUUAUCAAUGGUUUCCCACAUGGACGUACAGGACUAGCUUUGGAUCUUUUCUGAGGACCAUGGCAGGCACUGAUGUGCAGCCGUAAAGAGAAGCCACUUUUCCUGUUGUUUUGGGCACCUACCACUUCUCAGCACUUUCUGCUGGGCAGCGGCGAAAUCCUUACUAGCCCCUUCUCGCUCCCUUGUUUCUAUACUCAAUUUGUCACCUCUCUCCUCCCUUGGCGCCCUUCCCGUGACCUCAGCUUGAGGGUCACCUGCUCACACCCCAUCCGAAUUCACUCCCUCGGUUGCACUUAGCUCAGAAUUCCCAAUUCUGGAUUUCUUUGUUUAUUCUGAGAAAUGCUGGUCUGUUUGUCUGUCUGUUUGUUUGUUUGUUUCUGUUUCUUUCAGUAAAACAGUGGUUCUCAACCUGUUGGAGAUGGAACAACCCUUUCACAGGGGUCACCUACGACCAUUGGAAAACACGGAUAUUUGCAUGACAACCCAUAACAGUAGCUAAAUUACAGUUAUGAAGUAGCAACAAAAAUAACGUGAUGGUUGGGGGUCAUAACAUUAUUAAAGGGUGGCAGCCUUGGGGAGGUUGAGAAGCCACUGCACUAGGGUAUGAUUCCUGAGGCCAAGGACAAGCCACAUUGGUGUGCUACGAGUAUUGAUUGGUCGGUAUUUUUCUUUUAAUGUUCCCCCAGGCCCUAACCCUAACAGUGAGGUAGAAAGGAAGGCUGUAAGCCAACUUGGCAACAUUUGCCUCAUAGCAAGGACUUCUUGCCUGUGACAUCCUGUCUUCUAGUUUUUCCCAAUCAUUUUGACCUGGAACUGCCUUCAAGGCUAUCCUUGCAAGGCUAGUGUCCUACACCUGUCCAGAAUCCCAAGGAAAAGGGAAGGUGGCAUCAAGUCAUUCUUGUUAAUGAAGUCCCAGGGUCAGUAUGCUGUAACCUUCGGCAGGUAGAGAAGUCUUUCGGAAGAGGGUAACUUACUAUAGCGGUUACUUUUAUCAUUCUUGUGACAAAACAACUGACAUGAAACAACCUAAGGAGGGCACGCUCUAUUUGGGCACAGGGUGUGAGGGCCAGAGAGACUGUUACCAUGGGAAGGCACAGCAGCAGGAUGGAGAGGCAGCUGGUCACGUGGCAUCCACAGUCAGGAGGCAGAGCUAGAUGAAUGCUGGUGCUCAGCUCACUUUCUCCUCUUUAUUCCGUCUGGGACACCAGCCCAGGAAUGAUACUGCCACAUUCAGCAUGGGCCUUCCCACCUCAGUCAAACCUCUCUGAAACACCUUUAUUGACACACCCAGAAGCGUGUUCCCACACGCUAAGUGCCCGCAAGUGUCCGCUUGGUUCGUAUCCAUGACUCUUGAGUCUAGAUGGCGGUGAGCAGAAGUGACUCUCCUUCUAGAGUAGAGAUUGCCUCUGAAACAUCCCCACCAAGUGGCCAUCUUCAUUACUGCCAGGACACCUCCAAGAACAAGCCCUAUCAUGGCUCCUGAGGACACCUUCCAGGUUUGGGUGGCGCUGGGCAUGACAGAGGUCUCUCAGAUACACUGGAUCUGGGCUCUUGUUUUUCUCUCCCACUGGGAGCCACAAGCAGACAUCUUCCAGAUGCCUGAGCACAGAAGCUGUUCCAAGCAGAGGACCCCUUCAUCCUCCCAAGCAUUCCUUAGCCUAGAAUAUGUUUGACCUGGUGUUGAGUUCCUCAAUAAGCCUCAUGCCCAAGAAUCCCAACUCCAUUGAAAGGAUGGUGUUGCAGGUGCUGGGUAAGGUUUUGAUAUAGAGAAUGGCGCAUUAUGAUUCUCUGAGCACAGAGAGCUCAUGUACUAGUGUGAGCCUGACCCGAAGGUCAACAUAGGCUGGUACAGGACAUCACACAAUCUCAGAGAUUGGGGGCAGUAUUGCCGAAAACAUGCACUUUUGAACACCUAGGGGAUAAUGAACAUUUUGUAUACUCAACUCUAAUUGUGCAAAUCUUAUGUUUUGUGUAAUUACUUUACACAGUGAGGGAUAAAAAGAAAUGGAUGACCCAACAGUGAUGCAUAUGCCUCAUGAGCAUGAGGACCUGAGUCCCGAUCUCCAGAACCAACAUAGAAACCCAGGCAUGAUGGCAUGUGUUUAGACCUUUGCUGUGAUUUGAGGUAAUGAUUUUUCCUGGACUUCAACCAAGUAACUGGACUGCAGCUGAAUAAUGAAAUUACCUGAUGAUCAGUUGUUAUCAGACCCCGGAGAGACGAAGAUGCUGUGGGGGUUAGGCACUUGUUGCAAACAGAUGUGAGAAGGGACCAUCAGAACAGGAAAAGAAGCCCACUGCACCCCUAGGACAGCUUGUUCCUGUGCAUCCUAUCACUUGGGGCUUGUUCUUGACUUUUAAAGUCAUGGAUGCUGUCGCUCAGUGGGGGAUGGGGUGAGAAAAGCCUAGGAAUCUGGGUUGAAGCUGAAGUGAGAAAUGUGGACACCAAAAUACUCGGUUUUCCUUUGCUACGGAGGCAGUCCCAAGUCUCCACAGCAGAACCCAAGGACUCUAGGAUACACAAUCAGAUAACGCCUGCUUGAAUCUGAACUCACAUUCGAGUGAAGUGAAGAACCCAGAAGUGACAACCCAUAACCAUACUCAUAAAGACAAUGAGUAUUGGUGCAUAACGUGUGUGGGAGAGGUGUGUGUUUAUUUUUUAUAAAACUAUGUUUGUUCCUCAAUUUCUCUCUUAACCCAGCUAUCACACAAACAAGUGAGACUCUAUUAUAUUUGUUUAAUAAUAAGCUUCACAGCACAGGAACGGAGCAGUUAUUGCUCUAUUCUUAACCCUCUAAGCCAAACUGGUUUCCUCCCUGUGUACAUCUCAGAAUUACUUGCACUUUGUAGCUGUCCUUGUGAGCUUUCUUUCCUGGUCCCUCCUGAACAUCUGUUGGUGGCUGAAUCCUCACACUGAAUCCUCUACUUCCUCUUCUAACUCCUCCUCCCCUGGCUGACAGGAAGUCCAGUCCUAUCCCCGCCCCUGCUCAGCAACUGGCUAUAAGCUGCUUUACUGGCAUAUCAGGGCACAACUGGGGAACAGUGUUUACACAACAAUACAACAGGAUAGUCUCCAUUGAGGGACAUCUGGGCUGUUUCCAGGUUCUGGAUAUUAGGACUAAGGCUGCUACAAACUUGGUUGAGCAAAUGUCCUUGUUGUGUUCUUGAGCAUAUUUUGGAUAUAUGUCUAGGAGUGGUAUAGCUGCGUAUUGAGGAAGCGCUAUUCCUAAUUGUCUGAGAAAGCGCCAGAUUGGUUUCCAAAGUGGUUGUACAAAUUUAUAUUCCCACCAGCAAUGGAGAAGGGUUCUCCUUUCUCCACAUCCUCUCCUA